This 42-nucleotide ribosomal RNA is filed under the name Thanatephorus cucumeris. RNAcentral's name for it is "partial 28S ribosomal RNA". The record is from RNAcentral. Lineage: Eukaryota; Fungi; Basidiomycota; Agaricomycetes; Cantharellales; Ceratobasidiaceae.
GUCAGGUGGACUACCCGCUAACUGGAGCAUUCAAUAAGCGGA